This 755-nucleotide ribosomal RNA is filed under the name Limosilactobacillus fermentum. Its description in RNAcentral is "bacterial SSU rRNA". It matches the Rfam family "Bacterial small subunit ribosomal RNA", at positions 711 to 1465 of the family's 1533-position model. Lineage: Bacteria; Bacillati; Bacillota; Bacilli; Lactobacillales; Lactobacillaceae. The record is from RNAcentral.
AGUGGCGAAGGCGGCUACCUGGUCUGCAACUGACGCUGAGACUCGAAAGCAUGGGUAGCGAACAGGAUUAGAUACCCUGGUAGUCCAUGCCGUAAACGAUGAGUGCUAGGUGUUGGAGGGUUUCCGCCCUUCAGUGCCGGAGCUAACGCAUUAAGCACUCCGCCUGGGGAGUACGACCGCAAGGUUGAAACUCAAAGGAAUUGACGGGGGCCCGCACAAGCGGUGGAGCAUGUGGUUUAAUUCGAAGCUACGCGAAGAACCUUACCAGGUCUUGACAUCUUGCGCCAACCCUAGAGAUAGGGCGUUUCCUUCGGGAACGCAAUGACAGGUGGUGCAUGGUCGUCGUCAGCUCGUGUCGUGAGAUGUUGGGUUAAGUCCCGCAACGAGCGCAACCCUUGUUACUAGUUGCCAGCAUUAAGUUGGGCACUCUAGUGAGACUGCCGGUGACAAACCGGAGGAAGGUGGGGACGACGUCAGAUCAUCAUGCCCCUUAUGACCUGGGCUACACACGUGCUACAAUGGACGGUACAACGAGUCGCGAACUCGCGAGGGCAAGCAAAUCUCUUAAAACCGUUCUCAGUUCGGACUGCAGGCUGCAACUCGCCUGCACGAAGUCGGAAUCGCUAGUAAUCGCGGAUCAGCAUGCCGCGGUGAAUACGUUCCCGGGCCUUGUACACACCGCCCGUCACACCAUGAGAGUUUGUAACACCCAAAGUCGGUGGGGUAACCUUUUAGGAGCCAGCCGCCUAAGGUGG